RNAcentral lists this ribosomal RNA (468 nucleotides) under uncultured bacterium. Its description in RNAcentral is "partial 16S ribosomal RNA". It matches the Rfam family "Bacterial small subunit ribosomal RNA", at positions 28 to 507 of the family's 1533-position model. The record is from RNAcentral.
GACGAACGCUGGCGGCGUGCUUAACACAUGCAAGUCGAACGGAAAGGCCCUGCUUUUGUGGGGUGCUCGAGUGGCGAACGGGUGAGUAACACGUGAGUAACCUGCCCUUUACUUUGGGAUAACUUCAGGAAACUGGGGCUAAUACCGGAUAGGAGCUCCUGCUGCAUGGUGGGGGUUGGAAAGUUUCGGCGGUUGGGGAUGGACUCGCGGCUUAUCAGCUUGUUGGUGGGGUAGUGGCUUACCAAGGCUUUGACGGGUAGCCGGCCUGUGAGGGUGACCGGCCACAGUGGGACUGAGAGACGGCCCAGACUCCUACGGGAGGCAGCAGUGGGGAAUAUUGCACAAUGGGCGGAAGACUGAUGCAGCAACGCCGCGUGCGGGAUGACGGCCUUCGGGUUGUAAACCGCUUUCGCCUGUGACGAAGCGUGAGUGACGGUAAUGGGUAAAGAAGCACCGGCUAACUACGUG